Molecule: ribosomal RNA, 229 nt
Filed under: uncultured bacterium
Lineage: Bacteria
Description: partial 16S ribosomal RNA
Rfam family: Bacterial small subunit ribosomal RNA
Source: RNAcentral
AGUGUAGGCGGGCAAUUAAGUCAGAGGUGAAAUCCCACAGCUCAACUGUGGAACUGCCUUUGAUACUGGUUGUCUUGAGUUACAGUGAAGUAGAUAGAAUAUGUAGUGUAGCGGUGAAAUGCAUAGAUAUUACAUAGAAUACCGAUUGCGAAGGCAGUCUACUAACUGUAUACUGACGCUAAUGGACGAAAGCGUGGGGAGCGAACAGGAUUAGAUACCCUGGUAGUCC